GACAGAGGCCUCAAGCGUUAGGCGGAAUCACUGGGCUUAAAGCGUGUGUAGGCGGAUCGUUAAGUGUCUUGUGAAAUCCCACGGCUCACCGUGGAACUGCUGGGCAUACUGGCGAUCUUGGGCCAACUAGGGGCAACUGGAACAAGCGGUGGAGCGGUGAAAUGCGUAGAUAUCGCUUGGAACGCCAAAGGUGAAAACAGGUUGCUGGGGUUGUGCCGACGCUGAGACACGAAAGCCAGGGGAGCAAACGGG
Molecule: ribosomal RNA, 252 nt
Filed under: uncultured bacterium
Lineage: Bacteria
Description: partial 16S ribosomal RNA
Rfam family: Bacterial small subunit ribosomal RNA
Source: RNAcentral